Molecule: ribosomal RNA, 500 nt
Filed under: uncultured bacterium
Lineage: Bacteria
Description: partial 16S ribosomal RNA
Rfam family: Bacterial small subunit ribosomal RNA
Source: RNAcentral
AUUGAACGCUGGCGGAAUGCUUUACACAUGCAAGUCGGACGGCAGCACGGACUUCGGUCUGGUGGCGAGUGGCGAACGGGUGAGUAAUACAUCGGAACGUGCCCAAUCGUGGGGGAUAACGUAGCGAAAGCUACGCUAAUACCGCAUACGAUCUAAGGAUGAAAGCGGGGGAUCGCAAGACCUCGCGCGAUUGGAGCGGCCGAUGGCAGAUUAGGUAGUUGGUAGGGUAAAGGCCUAACAAGCCGACGAUCUGUAGCUGGUCUGAGAGGAUGAUCGGCCAAACGGGGAAUGAGACAGGGCCCAGACUCCUACGGGAGGGAGCGGUGGGGAAUUUUGGACAAUGGACGCAAGUCUGAUCCAGCCAUUCCGCGUGCAGGAUGAAGGCCCUCGGGUUGUAAACUGCUUUUGUACAGAACGAAAAGGCUCUGGUUAAUACCUAGGGCUCAUGACGGUACUGUAAGAAUAAGCACCGGCUAACUACGUGCCAGCAGCCGCGGUAA